AUGAGCACAAAGAUGAAGAAGGGGAUCCUGAGGCCCUUCCGCUACUUCUCAAACAUAAUGGAUGCUAAGGAACAAGAAUUGCAAAUUGGUUUCCCAACGGAUGUGAAACAUGUGGCGCAUAUCGGAUGGGAUGGACCUAGUGUCCCAAACAAGGAGAAGGAGGCAGGAGCACCUAGUUGGAUGAAAGACUACCACUCAGCACCACUGGAUUCAGCCUCGUUUAGGAGUGACAGGGGAGGUUCUGCUGCUUCUAACCCAUGGGCUUCUCAAGAAAUAGUUCUAGAUGGAGCGGGCCUGGGAGAUACCUCUUUUGGGGAUACUAAAAGUGAAGCCGGUGGAAUCGAUGUCACUGUUGGUGACUCCCCUCCAUCCCCGGGCUCCCGCCGGUCAAGGCGAAACCGCUCCCGGGGUUCUGACACCUCCUCUAUGGAUGUCACAACAGGAAGUACUGAGAUCUUGGAGAAGAAGGAGAAGGCCAAGAAAGGCACCCGAAAGAAUAGAAAGAAAGAUAAGGACAAGGCAGCUGAGGACAGUGCCGGUUCCACCUGUCAGGACCUCCCCGCGGUGCCCAAGAAGUCCAACCGCAGAAAAAACAAAGGUAGCUCCGAAGGAAGUGGCGGUGCAUCGACCAAGGAUGGUGGAGGUGCACCAGAGGUGGGCACAAUACCGCUAACUCUGGUGGCCGAUGAAGAAAAGGAUCACGAAUUGUAA
This 711-nucleotide ribosomal RNA is filed under the name Triticum aestivum (bread wheat). RNAcentral's name for it is "partial small subunit ribosomal RNA". Lineage: Eukaryota; Viridiplantae; Streptophyta; Magnoliopsida; Poales; Poaceae. The record is from RNAcentral.